ACGGUGAACACGGAGCUUGCUCUGUGGGAUCAGUGGCGAACGGGUGAGUAACACGUGAGCAACCUGCCCCUGACUCUGGGAUAAGCGCUGGAAACGGCGUCUAAUACUGGAUAUGUGACGUGAUCGCAUGGUCUGCGUCUGGAAAGAAUUUCGGUUGGGGAUGGGCUCGCGGCCUAUCAGCUUGUUGGUGAGGUAAUGGCUCACCAAGGCGUCGACGGGUAGCCGGCCUGAGAGGGUGACCGGCCACACUGGGACUGAGACACGGCCCAGACUCCUACGGGAGGCAGCAGUGGGGAAUAUUGCACAAUGGGCGCAAGCCUGAUGCAGCAACGCCGCGUGAGGGAUGACGGCCUUCGGGUUGUAAACCUCUUUUAGCAGGGAAGAAGCGAAAGUGACGGUACCUGCAGAAAAAGCGCCGGCUAACUACGUGCCAGCAGCCGCGGUAAUACGUAGGGCGCAAGCGUUAUCCGGAAUUAUUGGGCGUAAAGAGCUCGUAGGCGGUUUGUCGCGUCUGCUGUGAAAUCCGGAGGCUCAACCUCCGGCCUGCAGUGGGUACGGGCAGACUAGAGUGCGGUAGGGGAGAUUGGAAUUCCUGGUGUAGCGGUGGAAUGCGCAGAUAUCAGGAGGAACACCGAUGGCG
This 640-nucleotide ribosomal RNA is filed under the name Microbacterium sp. RNAcentral describes it as "bacterial SSU rRNA". It matches the Rfam family "Bacterial small subunit ribosomal RNA", at positions 66 to 717 of the family's 1533-position model. Lineage: Bacteria; Bacillati; Actinomycetota; Actinomycetes; Micrococcales; Microbacteriaceae. The record is from RNAcentral.